This 473-nucleotide ribosomal RNA is filed under the name uncultured bacterium. Its description in RNAcentral is "bacterial SSU rRNA". It matches the Rfam family "Bacterial small subunit ribosomal RNA", at positions 28 to 507 of the family's 1533-position model. The record is from RNAcentral.
GAUGAACGCUGGCGGCGUGCCUCAAACAUGCAAGUCGAGCGGGGCUAUGUAAUAUCGCAAGGUAGAACAUAGCCUAGCGGCGAACGGGUGAGUAACACGUGGGUAACCUGCCUGGAAGACAGGGAUAACGAUUCGAAAGGGUCGCUAAUACCUGAUAAUAUCCUUUCAUCGCAUGGUGAUAGGAAGAAAGGGGAAACCCGCUUUCAGAUGGGCCCGCGUCCCAUCAGCUAGUUGGUAAGGUAAAGGCUUACCAAGGCGACGACGGGUAGCCGGUCUGAGAGGAUGUACGGCCACACUGGGACUGAGAUACGGCCCAGACUCCUACGGGAGGCAGCAGUUGGGAAUCUUAGGCAAUGGACGAAAGUCUGACCUAGCGACGCCGCGUGAGGGAAGAAGGCCUUCGGGUUGUAAACCUCUGUCAUGGGGGAAGAAGGAGUGACGGUACCCCAAGAGGAAGCCCUGCUAACUACGUG